UGGUACUCUGGUGAAAACCCCUCAUGGAGUACUAGCACUGCUGCCAUAGACGUCAUCUGUCGUAGUUUUCCCCAUUAUCCAGUGUGACCUCACAGAAAAAUAAUGUCUACUGACUUUGGACGGUGUACAACUCCGGACAAGGGAGUAUUUCUUCAUUUUCUGAAUUGCCUGUUCCAACGUGUGGCUAACGAAGCAGAUGUUCAUUGGCACUCAUUGGCUAUGUGCAGAUGCCUUCGUGUACAGUAGUUUCACAUUUGCACUGUUUCUUCCGUUAGUACUAGUCUGGCUAGUGUUGUAGAAGGCCUUGAUGUUUUUGAGAAGCUGGCAGCGAACCUGUACUAGUACUCCUUGGUCUCCAACGAGAGUUUUUUCCGUCAAACCCCAUUUUUGCUGCUAAGUGGUGUAUUGGCCAGCAGCUCCUCGCAGUAAAUAAAUGAUCCAAGUUUGAAUCUGUCUGCCCUCAUUUUGUAGAACAGAUCAUCUAGGGCAGCUCCGGGCUUCUUCAAAUUUACUUGCCAGUAAAUCUCCAAGCGAGCAUGCAGAGACUCCAAUGGUACAGCGGGUUGAGGCUUUGGCCACAGAGACGGCGGAGGCCGGCACAGGAGGCUCAAGAUGGCGGGGGGCAAGCGACGACAACGGCCCAAGGCGCUGCAAUGGAGGACGCGCGAGUCGACCGGUGCUUCGGAGACGACGAGCACGCGGGAGACGACCAGCGUCUCGAGCGAGGGCCCCGGCUUGAGGUGGAUUUCUGUAAAAACAAGCUCAAAUCACGCGUCGUGGCCGCUGCGUCAGCGGAGAAGGAGAUCGAUGGCUUGAGGAGCAGAGGUAUGGCCGGCCUGUGGCGCAGCCGUUGAUUAUCGCGGGGGAGGCGGCAGGGUCGGCCCGAGGUGAGGCGGGCGCGAGGUCAAGGCGACGAAGGCCGGGACGGCUCGACAAUGAAGAAGACGAUAACUUGAGGCGGAGCAGCAAGGGGGCGAAGUGACCCAGAACAGGGGUGACUCAAAGUAGGAGAGGCGAGGCCAGCUCGGUGGCGAGGCAGGCCGGCGCGACGACUCACCACAGAGCUAAGACGGUCGGCGGCUUGACCACGGCGGAGUUGACGCACGGCGAGGCGACUUAAUGGCGCCAGCCCGCGGCAUCCGCGUCUCAAGACCGCAGAGGCCAGGUUGCGGCGGCGACGGCGGGUCACAAAGCAGGUCGCAGGAGGAACCCGAGCCUGUGGACCAUCCGUGUCCGGGUCAUGUACUACAUCUGAGUUGAAUCCGGCUUGGCGCAGCAACAUUGAUCCGUACAUGACUUGUCCCAUUGAUUCACUUUUGCUUGAAAAGACGUUUUCUAA
Molecule: long non-coding RNA, 1339 nt
Organism: Triticum urartu
Lineage: Eukaryota; Viridiplantae; Streptophyta; Magnoliopsida; Poales; Poaceae
Source: RefSeq, a predicted model, not a curated record